GCGGGCGUGCCAGAGCGGUCAAAUGGGACGGGUUUAGGACCCGUUGGCUGAGUGCCUUCGCAGGUUCGAAUCCUGCCGCCCGCA
Molecule: transfer RNA, 84 nt
Filed under: Candidatus Woesearchaeota archaeon
Lineage: Archaea; Nanobdellati; Candidatus Woesearchaeota
Description: tRNA-Leu
Rfam family: tRNA
About the family: Transfer RNA (tRNA) molecules are approximately 80 nucleotides in length. Their secondary structure includes four short double-helical elements and three loops (D, anti-codon, and T loops).
Source: RNAcentral